Long non-coding RNA from Macrosteles quadrilineatus (aster leafhopper), 1396 nucleotides. RefSeq lists it as uncharacterized. The transcript has 2 exons. NCBI's taxonomy places the organism in Eukaryota, Metazoa, Arthropoda, Insecta, Hemiptera, Cicadellidae. The record is from RefSeq and is a predicted model, not a curated record.
UUAGUUAAAAUAGGAUUUUAGGAUAGUUUAGGAUUCGUGUAGAAAGUUAUUAUUUAAGAUUAGCAAGACGUGAGAUCUUCUAAGCGAGGGAGCGCACGGGAUAGCUAAACUGCUGUGAUAGAUAAAAGAUAACGCAUGGUACAGACACGUCCAGCUACACCACACAGCAGAACGCUUUGUUGACAUAAAGCUCGUUAAAAUACAAUCAAGUAGCAAGUAGCAUAGGCUACAAUACUUUACACUAUUGUGUAUACUCGAUUACCUGAGUUAAUAGGGAGAGGGGGGAAUGAAAAAUAGGUUAAUCCAAUAUAGUAUAAAAACAGAUGACAAACUCAUUAAAACGCUGUAAACAGCCAUUAAGUCACGAUUUACAUUUUUAUAAACAAAAUUCAAUAUUGCACAAUCAUUAUUAUUGUAAAUUUCAAAUCAUUUAUCUUGGUUCAGUUGUACAAACGGCAACGUUUAAAAUUGUAGCUAACUCAAACUCAACUAAUCACUAGCCAAACAUUACAUUGCUAUAAAUAACGUAAAUAUUAAAGGAACCUUUAGAAAGUGUGUUAUAAGGUACUGCUCAUGAUAGACAGAUAGGCUACCGAUGCUGUAUCACAGCAUAGGAAUUGAUAGAUAAGUAAUAAAAAAGUGUAAAAUUAUAUUUAGAGAUAAUUAAAACACUCUUAAAAAAAGAAUGUAACGAGAACAAUCUUGUUAUUCUCUUUCUUUGUUCUUCUGUUCAUUAAUAGGUUUCUCUUCAAUACAUACACAAAUUCAACAAGUCGCCAUAUUUAGACCUACUCAUUGGCCAAUCACAGCCUUCCCAGACAGCACGUGAGCUUGGACCAAACUUGGUUUUUACAUAUUUCUGAAUUGGUAUGACAAACUUGGAGUUUGGAACCCACAACAAAUUUAAAACAGCUUUGGUUAAGUGAACUUGUGUGAAUGCACCAAAACUAAACUUGUUUUAUUUACAUAUAUAACCUGGUUGGCCAAGUCCACAAUUUAAACACCUAACCAGACCCACGACAAGCUUGUUCAUGUGAGUCUAAAGUGAGCAGUGCCAUAUGACAAAAGAAUUUUCCCUCCACCCCUACCCAGAACGCUCCUAAAACCUGUUUCUUUGUGCUGAACCACCAUUUUUGUUGGAUUUAGACUUCCUCACUCUCAGUUGUCAGUUCUCACUUAUCUAGUUCUGGUGUUGUGAGUUACUCGUUUCGUUACUAGUUGUGAGUUUUGUUUAUGGUUUUGAUACCAAGACGAAGCAAAGAAGAAUUAAGGGAUUCCUGUAAAGAUCUUCUGAAGCAGGCGGUGGAGUUGAUGGGUUCAGAAAAGAAGUUGAAGGUGAAGUGGAAGAUAGUGGGCAUUGUAUUUAUUAUAUUAAUAAAUUGUCUUGAAAUGUGAA